GAGGUCCCAAAGAGAAACCCCCAGGCAUUAAAUGGAGAUUUUGAUGACAGAGCAUCAAAAGAGCUUAAACCUAUUUGUCUAGAUUCAGACCUGUAAUAUCGUUAAUUGAAAUAUUAAUUUUUAUUAAAACUACCAUAGCAUAAUGUUCGGCAGUUACACUUCCGGUUCCGGUCCUUUAUUGUGAAGGUCUCGCUUCCUGUUUGCGCUCUUUGUUUAUCACCAUCCGUCUUGAUCUGUGAGUUUCCGAGUCUGCGCGUAUCCUUAGCUCAGGGCCUGCGACAUCCAGGUAAUUCUCUAUUAAGCUGCAAAAGCGUCGCUGUUUUUGCGUCAUGUUUUUGAGCAAGAAAGUGAUUUCUAAGUUUACUUCGCACUGAGUCUGAGUGACUGAGGUUAUUCAUAUGCAUUGGGCGAACAUCAGCAUCAAUCAUCCUUAAGUCAUCAGUUCCCCUGCUGGUUCAACGAGCACUUUCCCCCCCUGAUCUCGAGAGCGUCAGUCCUCACAUCCGUCCCUCUCCCCAGCUUCAUUAUUUCAUCCACAACUCAGACAUAACGCUGUUGUAUUGUGACGAUUACCUAUGUAAUCACACGUGAGUUUGGAAACAAUAAAUUGUAACUUUAUUGUAUUUUGUUAUUACAAUGUUUUGGGAAAAACAUCAAUGGCGCAAUUGUAGAAGUUCAAUAAAGAUUUGGAAAAAAAAUGUAGCGACAAAGUAUUUGGUGGCGUUUACCAACUUCCAUUAAACGAAGAAGAAAAGAGGCGCCAAUUUCAUACUGCAACGCAAAUGAAGUCUGGACUAUCUUGUUCCAACUCCCACGGCCAUGUUUAUAUGGAUUUAUGCUUUCUGGCAAAAAACAACCAAAGCGAACGUGGGCCUUAGGCAGACUGGCUGGCUUACUGGUGGCAGCUAAGCUAAUCGGCUAGCAGCUUCAGCCAGGGAGCGCACCUGCCUUCCAUGCAUCGUACAACCCCAGGUGCCUCCAUGAGAGGAGCGACAAACUAUGAGGAGGCAGCUGAACUCCAAUCUCCUCAUUGAUUUUAGAUGUGAGGAUUUCUGAAGCUCUGCGUGAGUGGGAACAGACAUGCACUUCAGGCAGCUGGCCUCUACUAUGUGAUGGCAUGAUAACCUGUUCAGGCUCUACAGUGUUUGACAGUGGACGCAUAGACUGUCCACACACCUUUAGCAUCAAGACUUGUAUGGUUGUUGUGUGGGAAAGCAGCUGCCAAGCAGAUUGAUCGUCUGCAUCUCGUCUGCAUCUCAUUCAAUUCAUUCACUCACACAACUGAACUAUUGUUGUUACUUGCAUGUCCGAGAAACUUUUCAAUUUUUUUUUCAAAUGUGGUAAGUCAAUUGAAACAUUAUCACAUCUGCUGUACAGUCAAAAAAUGUUCAAUAAAUUAUAUGAUCCUGGAUAUGAAGAAUUACCCAGUAGGGUUACUUGUGCUGACUUCUCUAUCCUCACCAGACUUUUAGAUUAUUCCUAAUUAUAGUAAUCACCAUACUUCAAAUUAGUGACUUUACCUACUUCUGCAUGACAAACAUUUUUUAUGGUUUCAAUUAUGUUUGCUAUGCAAGUAGACAUCCUGCAGAUCUGUGGUAUUUUGAGGUUAAGUGCUCAUGCAGACAGGCAGCGAAACCAUGCUGACUAUAACAAAAGCACAUCAACACAGACUGAAUGAAACACACACACACAGCUUUUAAAGCUAUUUAGCAAAGCAGCAGUUAUAGUUUUACAAGCUGCACUUUAAGUAAAAAUACUCGCUUCACAUCCUUUGUGUAUUGAACAGUAAUGGGAAAAAAAUCCAGCAAUAAAAGCAGUGAAUGCAAAAUGUGAUUAUUAUAGAUUCGGCCUGUCCGCACAACCUGGGACAAUGUUGUUUUUUUUUUUUGUUGUUUUUUUAAGUAAAGAUAUGUCUUCUUUUCUAUUACCUGAGGAAUCACAGACUUGUCUCUUUUGAGCGUGCUCUGCCUGAAUCAUACAGUAGGUCUACUUUAGAAACCACAACUAUGGUAUAAAUGUAAAGUAAUGUUGGCAACAACAUUCCUCAGUAGCAUCCUCUACUGUAACUGACCCCUGCUGUCUUGUAAAGCCACCCUCUCCCAACCUCUGAAUAAUGCACCUUUUCACUGGGCUGCGCUGCCUCUCUGACCUUGUCUUGUAAAGAUGUACUUUGACCCGAGGCUCCACCUUGUUAAACUCCCUCCAUUUGUUCCUUUGUGGUUGAGCUUUGUUAAUAACAUUUGCUUGGUUGAACAUGAAGUCACCGAGUCAAGAUGCUGCUCACAGCUGCAGUGUUACAGUUAUUGCAACAAGUAAAAAGAAUUAACCCGUGCACAAGCUUAGAAGUCUGGCUUUUGUCUGCGAUGUAAUAAAACAUGACAUGGAACUCACACUUGAUCAAAACCAAAUACUUUUAUGCAGUUGUUUGUGGCUUUAAAAUUACAUAAUUCAAUGUAGUUUUUUUCUUGACUGUAUUGUCUUUUGGGACUCAAUCGACACUUUAAAAAAUAAUCAACCCACUGAUUAGUUAAUAUUAUAAGAUAAUAAUAUUUAACGGGACUAUUUAACUUGUGACGGACUAGUAAAAUUUUCAGGGUGGAUGAGAGGAGGCACAGACUCCAGCACCAUUGUAAUUAGGAUAUUUGAUCAUUUAUAAUUCUAAUUUUAAAAUGUACUCAUAUUGUAAGUUACAGGGGUUUCUUUAACCUCAGCCGAUGAAGGUUCUUGGAUGAGUAGUGAAAUGUUUUAAAAUAAGUUCAGAUGCCAUAAGUCAACUUUAUAUUGCUUGUACCUGCAAUGUUCAACCAUUGGACUGUUCCCACCUGCAGAUUAUCCACGUCUGUCUCGCUCUCACGUUUCCAUCUUUCUUCAAAUAAAAAGGAUAAAAGAUGUCUCCUGGGUAGAAAUACUGUCUCCUGGUCGUAUUCCCAGCACAGCAGAGGCCUGACAUUUAACAGGUGUUUAAUCUCUGCCCCCUCCCUCUCAGACGGCGAGUCUGAUUCUCUACAGAAUAUCUACUGAGCAUCUGCCUGUAAUGAUAAAAUGUGCCACUCACUUUAACUUUCAGUCUGACUGUAGCGCUUCACAGCACAGUAAUUACAGCAUCGGACAGGAUCGCAUGGCCCUUUUAUUAAUGUCCUGUGUGUGGAAUUGUGGGGUUCUUGUGUUCCAGUGCCAAAGAAAGAGACAAAUCAAAGAUCACUGAGACAUAAAAAUAUAAAAACAUAAAACAUAAAAAGUCCAAUAAUGGCUUUUCCCUUUCCAUUUUUUACUUCUUAAGGGGCCUGUGAAGAAGUGUUGUAUUAUACAUUGUCCUACGUACUGCAGUUAAGUUCACUGUUAAGCAGAACUUGUAUUAUAUACACAUUACACUGGUCUAAUUACUAAUUUCCCAGAUGUGCCAUGUAACAAAUGAACAAAUGUAAUUUAAUGAUAAAAAAACAUAAUUUAUUUGUAAAUAUAAAUAAUCCAUCAGUGUUGGUCUGUAAUUUAAAAUGGACAGUUUUGUUUGGUAAAUCUAAGUUCAAGCGGCCUCAGUUAUUUUGGCUGCUAUCUUUAUUGUCCUUUCCCAUAAGCAUUGCUGUAGUAAACUGACAUCAAAGAGCAAAUUAGCAUUCCAGCCUAAUAAUUUCCAGAUAUCUGGUCACAGAUUUGACUCAAUAUCUGGCAGUUCCAUGCUAAUAAAUGGUAUUUUUUUGGAAGGGUCUCUGAAUCGCUUCCCACCAUGACCUCCGUGGCUGUUGUCUCUGUCUUUCCUGACUCCCGGGGCCAGCUGGCUGGCACCAAGGGAGGGAGGGUGCCGUCGCUCUCGUUAGCAUUGAGGCCAUUUUGGGCUGAUUAUAUGGAGCUGGCCGCGCCAUAAAGCCUCCCUUCAUGAGAGAUCACCCGAACGAUCUGCACGUCUGACUGUCAAUAUGACGGCCGUUGCCAGGUCGGCCAAACGCAGUUGGCUGGAAUGUGCGUGUUUAAUCAGAACACAAAUGUCAUAUUUUGAGUAGUUUGUUUUUAUGGCCCAUCGGGGGGCGUGAGCAUGGCUGAUUAGAAUUUAGGGAAAGUUUAUAUAGAAACAUCCAUGCAAGAUAAUUCUCUCUUGUUUUCAUGCAUUUCCUUUGUGUUAACAAAGAAAAGUCAUGUGUGUAGUGGCCCUUUAAAUACACAAAUAUGUAUAGUAGGAAUUCCUGUGUGUUUAAGGAAAAACAAAGUUUAAGCUCCAUAUGUGGCCCAAGUGGUUGUGUGUGUAAAUGUAUAUGAAUGUCUGUGCCAAAUGCUGAAUGUGACCACCCAUGAUGACUGUGGGGCCUCAGCAAAACACAACUUGAAUCAACAGCAAGACAAAACCCAUUUGGACCCCACUGAGUUCCCCUGUAAGGAGCCGGUUAAUGGUCCUAUCCUGAAAACGCAAGCAGCACACACGGUUGGACACACAGUAGCAACCAUUGUGUUGAGUCCUACUUCAUGAAACUUCAACUCAGCUGCAUAGUGUUAUUGCAUUGCAUACAUUAUUAUGACAGUUACUGCAUUAACAGGGGCUAGAAUAAAUGUUCUGGUGUGAUUGACUUCUAAAAGACCACACAACUAAGCUUGUCUACAUUUAUAAAACAUGGUGAUGAUUGCAAGGAACAUACAAAUAUACAGGGCAUCAAAAGAAAUGCAUACAUUAACGCAAACACUUCUGCAGUUGAGGGGAGACAUUCAGCAGGCAUCUGAGUUUCAGUGGUUCAACGCUACAAUCCAAAUCAGUACAAUGAUCGUCAAUGGAGGGCUUAAACGAGCCUUGGGCCUUUUAGAGGCCAGAGGACCUGGUAUACAAGUACCAUUUCCAUAGGUUGGCCUUUGUAUAUUAGGGGAGUAUAUUGUGUCUUUUAAUGCUGUUUAGGUUGCCUGUUGUUCAGUAAUUGUUAAUUAGCUGGAGUUGAAACAGGUUUGUGAUGUCGACCUGUAGAAAGAUUAGAGAAGGUAUGUGAUUAAAUCUAUUUCACACUAAAGACACUAAACACUAUAAUGUGUGGUCAGAUACGCCCAGGACACCCAGAAAAGGGCUUUUUUUUCUGCUCCGCCCAGAGUUGACUACACCACAAACUGGUUUCCAGUUCCUGAUAAGGCCUGACUCUGGAAGUGAUCCACGUCACUGAGUCGCCGUCUGGGAAGCACUCUUCUUAUUCUACAGUGGGGGAAUAAACGAUCACCUAUCGGAAACGUGUGUUUUUCCAGUCACUAAGUUCAAGCCAAUUACAGGAAUGGUCAAUUCCACUUCCCACCGAGUAGCAUGUUACUGUGUGUUUGCGGCUUGGUGCAUAUUUUUCGCGCUAAUCGGACACGUCCCAAACCACAGUCCAUGGUUUGCGUUCAGUCCAAGCCACGGACACAUGAAUCAGAAACCCACAGGAGGUUGACACAUUCCCACUAACACUGUCCAGAAAUGUUAGGAGGAUCAUGAACCCCAAGAAUUGGGAAAAUUUUGUAUUAUUGCAGUGAACAGAAAUUGGUCGGAUAAUAAUUUUUCUUCCCAGACUCCCUGAACAUCAACAGCAGCCACAUUUGCCUGUGAUGAUUUGGUGACACAUUAAUUAGAUAAUGUGUCACAAACAAAUAUUUAGUUUUACUUGCAUAUGAAACUGUAAAGCAUAAUCAACAGGCCAUCAAGUUUUAUCAACAAUUGUGUUUUCUCCAUUCAUACUUUUUUUUUUUUUUUAGUUUUUAUAGUAUCUCUGUGACCGGGACAACAAUAAAUCAUGAGGUCCACAAAGCUUAAAUUUCAAAAUAACGAAAGAUAAGCGAACUAACAAAAAUCGCAGUGAGCACUGCAAUAUAAAAAAAGAAAUGGGCUGUAACCCUCGCUGACACUGAUAUCCUACAGCAGUGUAAAGUAAAUGACUCCUGUAAUGUCUAUUCAACGUUUCGAAUCCCGCUGCUGGAUUUCCUACCCAGCCAGGAAAACCACAUGCACAGUCCACACAACUGCAAUCAUAUUUAAAGAAAUUCCAACUGCAGCCCCAACAGACCGUCAGAGUCAGAGGAGACUGGAUUCUGUAUCAUCUGAAGACAACUGCUAUAGAGCCACACAUUAUACAGUCAUGUUGUAAUCGUACCUGUCAGUGACAUAAUCCAUGCAGCUGAGGUCUCCUGCAGAUGCACAAUUAAAGCAGUGUUUAAGAUAAUUGCUAACAUACAGCAUAUACACAUCUACAAACAGGAACACACACACUAAUAGGGUGCAUUUUAAUAAUCUGAUGGUCUGUCUGCUUUGGUAACAGUCAAGCAGGUACAGAGUUAAUGAUGGACACAUCAAAAUCUAAGAUGCAUCAGUUAUACUGAGCUCCAAGAAUGUUCCGUUGUCUUUUAUAGAUGCACUUAUACAGACUUUAAUCAAUGUUCAGCUAUUACUAGUUUAUGCCUAAACCCCCUCAUGUAUCAUGUCAUGACUUCUUCUUGGGGGUUCUCCAGAUUCCAGUAAUCAUUGAAGCUAUGGAAUGAAUAACAGAAUGAUACCAACUCAAGCUCUGCAGUGCCAUCUUCUGGGUUUGACCAGACUGAGAUAAGAAAUGGCAUCUACUGUAGAUCCUAAUAUGCAUUUGACUAAUUUACUGUAAUCUGUAAUAAACAAAGGGUAAAAACUUUAAAGUUAUAGAACACUCAAAACUUUCACAUCAGUAGGUCAUAGACAGCUAUUAAUGUCUAAGCAUGCAGUUAUAGUCUGUAUAGACAUCUAUACAGAUGGAUGCUUGUUUUAAUACAGUUAAUGAAUGAAAUGUAUGAUUAGCAACCUGUACAGUAGUCGAUCAUGAGGGUUUUGCUGUCUUCACCAUGAAGAGUUUGGAAAAUGACCUGGUGUUUGGAAAGAGUAGGUUGACGGUUUACCAGUCACAUUUCAUACAUGAUGUUAUAGAUGCUUUACUGAAAGUCGCGGCCUAGCAAUUGAUAGAACCCGGCAACCUCUGAAAUCUCCUGCUCAAUCAUGUUGUCACUGGCAGCAAUUAUGUUUCCUCUGCACCCCUGACAGAAAACCUGGAUAGUUGAUGGCCACAUACUGCACUCUCAAAGAUGGCAACUCAGACUUUUUCUUUGCUACACAUUUCCAUUAUGUUCCUGGAUAUGAACCGAUAACUGUCCGGGUGACUUAAUGCAGAUGGACACAGUCAUACUGCAGCUACUGUAACUUGAGUAUCAGACCUAGUGCUCUCUCUGCUCUUUCAGCAGAAUGUUGUAGAACAGAUUUCUGAUUCUUUCAUCCAAAUUCCCCUUUAUGGUUGUGUUUAACGGUCUGAGGUCAAAACGCGGUGAUUCAGAGUUUGCUGAAAAGCUUCUUUGUAUCCUUCAGCUUGUCAAACUGAAAAGCAACGGAAAUAUCUAUUGAAAAAAAAAAACAGGUGGAGACAAUUUGACCCUCAGGUCAAGAUGGAUUUUGCAGAAAGUCUUCCUCCAACGCUUUCAUGCGUGUGUCUAUCACUGAUUCAAGCUCCGGUCCACCUUGGAACAAUCUCUGCGCGCUGUGCAUUCAAAUCAGUGAUUCUAAGCAGUGAUUGGAACAAGAUGGACAUUUUACUGGGAAGAUGAUUUAUAAACUACACGGCAAGAGCUUCUUUAUGGGGAUCCUUGCCACCUAAAACAGACCAACGGAACCUUUCACCGAGAAGAGUAACAUUUUUAUGACACGUGAUGAACAGAAACAAUGCUACAGUGAGAUUCAUGGUCCUGGCAGGGCCCGCUGGUCUAGAGGGAUGUACGAAGGAAACGAUGAGAGGGUGAGAUGGACGAAAAAGUUAAGAGUGAAGAUGAGGAAGAGCAGAAAGGCUGAACAAGAAUGGAGGAGUUCGAUGAGAAGAAAUUAGAGAAUGAAAAAGAGAAAGGAUGCUGCCGGAAACAUCAUAACAGAACAAAUAAGCCGUGGUUGUGCCACUGUGUGUUUACUUUAGGAUACAUCUUUCACUGAAGACGCUGUUACAGAUUAGGUCACCAUUGGACCGGAGUUGGUAUGUUUUCGUACUAAAACAUACUGCUCAUCCUUGGCUCUGCUUCUGGAGCCGCUCUUCCCCUAGGAGAACAUUUAAAAUUGCAAGCUGCGAGUGCUAAUGGGGCCUGGGGGAGUGGUCUGGGAUGGGGGGAGGAAGGGUGGGCUGACCGAGGGCAGGGCCCAGAGUGUGGGGCCUGUAAAACGCGUCUGGGGGGUGAUGUUAACUGCUGCAACAAGGCGGAGGGUCCGAGUUCAGCAUGUUUAUUCUGGAGAGGAAGGUUCCUGGGUGCACUAGGAGAGGGAGAAAGAUGCCUGUGGAUGAGCCAAGCUUUAAAGCAUGGGUGGGCUUUACAUUACUGAACGGGUUCGAUUGUUGUUCUUAUGUGGUGGAUGCUCUGAGGGAAUGAUCAUCGGUUUAACAAUGCACUCGGACAUUCUUGGUUCUCAUGUGUAACUCCACUCCACGUAAAACCCAUCGUUUAGAAUGAGCUGAGUGCAAACCUGGAUCGAGACUGUCCACAACAUUCUGGAUCGUAUCCUUUAGUUUGUGCUUCUAAUGCACAACAUGUUGAGUCACAAAGAUAGAAUCUGAUGCACUUAUAAUGCAGUGAAGUUGUAAUCAGUCAUUUUUCAGAUAACUGGUUAAAUUCAAACAAUUAGAGAAUUAAUUGGUUGGUUUUGUGUGAGUCAGGUGAUUCAUUGGCUCGUCCAUAAACCACAGGUUCCUGUUUUCACUACAGGAUCCUACUGGUCACUAGCCAAAAUGGUUAAAGUGAAUACAUUGGUAAAAAGUCUUUCGGGCUUUACAUUUAACUGUGUGCAUCCUGGAAUUGGACAGAUCUCAGUGAAGGAUCUAUGAAGAAAUACAUAUGUUAUUAUUUUUUCUGGAGCACUGAGCCUUAUAAUCUUUUUGGAGGAAUUAGUUUGACUCCGUCAUUCUUCUGCUCUUAUCAUCACUGUGAAGGGAUUCAAGGAAAUUAGAUUUCCAUCACUCUUUGCUCCACGUCUGUUACAAGUAUCAUGUCUGCGUCAUUGUAAGUUCCUAACGAGAAUAUUUGCUCUUGACCUGUGCAGAACAUCAGGCCCAGGCCACACUGGCUCGCUCCUUCGUUGGCCUGUUUGAUCUCUCACACACAUGGUUUUCCUCACCAAAAGGUGCUGAGUGAGAGCUGAAAAGCCUGGUUUAUGGUAUCAGACGAGCUCAAGAAUACUGGUCCUUUGCCACGAGGGCUCAGACAGAGCUACAACUGAAAUAAAAAAUGAUAAGAAAUUAGUUGUGUUCUUUAAGAACACAAGCCAACGAGGACGCUUGGAAUCUAACUGCGUGUGCUCAGUACCCAGAGGUUCGAGACAACUGAUGCAGAUGUGCAUGCAAACGGGUGCAACAGAGUGUGAAAGUGGGUGUUGGUGAGCGAAAGCAUGACAUGCCUUACAGUCACAUUUCCCAGGAUAGGUGGGUCCUGCCAGUAUCUGUGUAACAGUAUAUCUCCUAAUGAAGUAAUCACUGGGCCUCAAUUUGUAGCCAAUCUGUAUUAGGAUUAAUUUGUGCUACGUCAAACCAGCCAUUCUGUUGGAAUUCUGUAUCUAGUUAAGACACGUGAAGAUCCUGACUUCUGUUAAAAGUUAGUAAAUGUUUUCUGUGUGAAGCCCAGGCUCCACCUUCUCUCCACAGUUCUCCCUGAAGGUUGUUUUGCUUUCCUAAUGCAGUGGAGAUGUAUGAUGAGACGUUUCACUGAAUGAGCUGCUGAAUUUCUCCCCUGAGCGUUCGGCAGUGACCCCUGAGCUUGACCUCCCGCGCUGGACAAUGUUGACACAUUGUGAGCCCCGGGAUCCAUACUGGAUACUCUCAUUUUUCUUUAACUGGAUGUAUGUGCAUAAACACCCACUUAUUUUUUUCUCUCCUAUUCCUCUAUUUGACGUAUUAAACUUUCAUCCCGCUUCCUUUUCAGCUACGUGCCCCCAGUGUUUAUUCUUUUCAGCCUCCAGCACCUGUUUUACUCGCAAGAACUUUGGCUGCUUCCUAAAAUCUCCAAUUACUAUUGUUUUCCCAUAAGUGCCCGUAUUCGUCAGGAUAUAAUUAGGAAAUAAUUUUUCCCUUCAUCACGUGAAAUUUGAUGACUUCCCUUUCAUGUUUAAAAAACGUUUUCCAAGCCUGUGUUUUGUGUCUGCGGAUGCUUCGCGUUGCAGCCAUGGUGACGAAUGUGAGGCCCGUGUCAAAAACAACACGGCUCACCUCUAACUGCGGCAGCCCACUUUGCACGUUAGCACAAUCGCUGCUUUAAUUGGGGCAGCGGCCGAAGCGAGAGGUGACAUGAAAGACGCGGGCAAGCGGCCAAAACGCUUGCAACCACCCGGCGUCCAUCGCUGAGUCUGGACACGGUCGUAUGUCGCAGCGGCUGCAGUGGAAAAAGUGAGGUUCUGCGCGGCGGCUUGUGAUGCAGACGGCCCUUUUGAUGCCUGCCAAAUGACAUCAUCGUGCCCGUUUGGUAUUUUCUGCGUUACUAAGGGAGCCGUGGAGCCCCAGCAUGUGACUCCACAUCAACACUGACGCAAUAGAAAUAAUUUACGAACGUUAAUGGUUAAAAACAUCCAAUUCAUACAUAUCGCAUAUCCAUGUCUACAAAGGAACAGUACGAAGUCUGUGGCUGAGAAAUUAUAGUACCUUAUGAGAUUCAAGUGCUUUGCUACAAGUGAUAUGUGAGUGAACCAUAACUACAUUUUUGGUUUUGUGUCAGUUUGGAGUGAGUUCCCUGCUUUGUUGCUUUUUACUUUUAUCUACUUUUGCAUUAUUCUAAAAAAAUUUAAAUGUUCCCUCUUUGUCUUCUUGUUCCUACACUGUAAUAACACAAUGCAAGUACAGUUUUAUAUUCUAAAUCUAUGGUGAACAUUCCUCCAAAGUGAUGCCUUCAUCCUACAG
Molecule: long non-coding RNA, 10868 nt
Organism: Betta splendens (Siamese fighting fish)
Lineage: Eukaryota; Metazoa; Chordata; Actinopteri; Anabantiformes; Osphronemidae
Exons: 6
Source: RefSeq, a predicted model, not a curated record